UCCAUUCCGAACACAGCAGUUAAGCUCGUUUGCGCCGAUGGUACUGCAUGGGCGACUGUGUGGGAGAGUAGGUUGCCGCCAUCA
RNAcentral lists this ribosomal RNA (84 nucleotides) under Candidatus Cloacimonadota bacterium. Lineage: Bacteria; Pseudomonadati; Candidatus Cloacimonadota. The record is from RNAcentral.